Molecule: ribosomal RNA, 327 nt
Filed under: uncultured cyanobacterium
Lineage: Bacteria; Bacillati; Cyanobacteriota
Description: partial 16S ribosomal RNA
Source: RNAcentral
GGAGUAUGGGCCGUGUCUCAGUCCCAUUGUGGCUGAUCAUCCUCUCAAACCAGCUACUGAUCGUCGCCUUGGUGGUCCAUUACACCCCCAACUAGCUAAUCAGAUGCAGACUCAUCCCAGAGCACCGAAGUUUUCACGAAUAGCUUCUCAGCUACGCGCAUAUGCGGUAUUAGCAGUCGUUUCCAACUGUUGUCCCCCUCUCUAGGGCAGAUUCUCUACACAUUACUCACCCGUCCGCCACUUAUGUAUCUCCGAAGAGACCUUAUCGUUCGACUUGCAUGUAUGAAGCACGCCGCCAGCGUCGUCCUGAGCCACUGAUCAAACUCU